Molecule: long non-coding RNA, 319 nt
Filed under: Heterocephalus glaber (naked mole-rat)
Lineage: Eukaryota; Metazoa; Chordata; Mammalia; Rodentia; Bathyergidae
Description: lncRNA (ENSHGLG00100025602.2)
Source: RNAcentral
UUGCAAGAUUAUAGAAGUCAUUUUAUACGUGAAUAUAUCUCUAGAAGUAUAUUAUAUAACAUGAAUGUCCACUAAAACAUUUUAAUGAAUAUUUUGGUGAUCAGAAUAGUGAAGUGGUAUAUUCUGGGUGUUUAUAUCUAGUUUCAUACCUUCUCCAGACUCUCUUCAAGGAAGCCUGUUCUUUUCAGAAGCAUCGUUUGCAUGGACUCUUUAAUAGAUGAGAAUGAUGAUUUUUUUUUUAAUAUGGUACUAGCCUGCAGUUUAGGCUGGGAUCAGCUAUACCCACGUAGUGCAUCUGGCUCACUCGUGUUUGCAGCUG